UUGACAGCCCUGGGGACAGGAGCCCUCUGUUUACCCACAGAGGAAAGGACAGCAUGAGAAGUAGCAGUGCAAGCUAGGGCUGCCGCCCAUCCAGGUUUUUACCUGAACAGUCUGUUUUUUGGCUUCUGUGUCCUGGUGCCAUUUAGGCUUGCCAGGU
Molecule: small RNA, 157 nt
Filed under: Chelonoidis abingdonii (Abingdon island giant tortoise)
Lineage: Eukaryota; Metazoa; Chordata; Testudines; Testudinidae
Description: TUC338 (ENSCABG00000018617.1)
Source: RNAcentral